GGUGUAGCGCAGUCUGGUAGCGCGUCUGCCUUGGGCGCAGAAGGCCGUGGGUUCAAAUCCCGCCGCC
This 67-nucleotide transfer RNA is filed under the name human gut metagenome. It matches the Rfam family "tRNA". Rfam says of the family: Transfer RNA (tRNA) molecules are approximately 80 nucleotides in length. Their secondary structure includes four short double-helical elements and three loops (D, anti-codon, and T loops). Further hydrogen bonds mediate the characteristic L-shaped molecular structure. tRNAs have two regions of fundamental functional importance: the anti-codon, which is responsible for specific mRNA codon recognition, and the 3' end, to which the tRNAs corresponding amino acid is attached (by aminoacyl-tRNA synthetases). tRNAs cope with the degeneracy of the genetic code in two manners: having more than one tRNA (with a specific anti-codon) for a particular amino acid; and 'wobble' base-pairing, i.e. permitting non-standard base-pairing at the 3rd anti-codon position. The record is from RNAcentral. RNAcentral also lists the same sequence under 2 other names.